RNAcentral lists this small RNA (1710 nucleotides) under cyanobacterium DE2011. Its description in RNAcentral is "bacterial SSU rRNA". The stretch from base 325 to 1576 matches the Rfam family "Bacterial small subunit ribosomal RNA". The record is from RNAcentral. Lineage: Bacteria; Bacillati; Cyanobacteriota.
CUUUAGUUUGAGGUUGGUUGAAGUAAGUGCCCAGAUUCAGUGGCGCAGGUUCUUUUGGCCAUUUCUCUCGGAAUAUUUGUGGUGGUGCCUUAGCCACGGCUGCUGAUUUUAUCCCCCCCACCCCGGGAAGUAGCCAGUCAACCUUGAUGGCUCGCUGCGCGUCGGGUAUUGCGCUUUCAUAAAUGUCACCAUUUGCGCCGCUUGGUGGUGGACAAACGCUUUACCCAGUGUAAGCUUGUGAAGAGUGUGUGCCUUUUCAUGAGGUGAAGUGGUAUCAAGCGGAUUGCGAGGAGCGGGGGUGUAAAAUGUGGGAUAGCUACGGUCGAUACGGAACGUUUGAUCUCAUAGUUGUCGGGGGAGUGCGGGAACGCUCGCGGGUAUGCGAAAAAGAGAAAUCAGUUGGUUAAUCGCCUGGGGAAUUUUCCGCAAUGGGCGAAAGCCUGACGGAGCAACGCCGCGUGGGGGAAGAAGGCCUUUGGGUUGUAAACUCCUUUUCUCAGGGAAGAAGAACUGACGGUACCUGAGGAAUCAGCCUCGGCUAACUCCGUGCCAGCAGCCGCGGUAAUACGGAGGAGGCAAGCGUUAUCCGGAAUUAUUGGGCGUAAAGCGUUCGUAGGCGGCGUUUCAAGUCUGCUGUCAAAGGCCGAGGCUCAACUUCGGAAAGGCAGUGGAAACUGAAAAGCUAGAGGUCGGUAGGGGCAGAGGGAAUUCCCAGUGUAGCGGUGAAAUGCGUAGAUAUUGGGAAGAACACCGGUGGCGAAAGCGCUCUGCUGGGCCGAACCUGACGCUGAGGGACGAAAGCUAGGGGAGCGAAUGGGAUUAGAUACCCCAGUAGUCCUAGCCGUAAACGAUGGAGACUAGGUGUUGCCUGUAUCGACCCGGGCAGUGCCGAAGCCAACGCGUUAAGUCUCCCGCCUGGGGAGUACGCACGCAAGUGUGAAACUCAAAGGAAUUGACGGGGGCCCGCACAAGCGGUGGAGUAUGUGGUUUAAUUCGAUGCAACGCGAAGAACCUUACCAGGGCUUGACAUCCCGCGAAUCUCGGCGAAAGUUGAGAGUGCCUACGGGAACGCGGAGACAGGUGGUGCAUGGCUGUCGUCAGCUCGUGUCGUGAGAUGUUGGGUUAAGUCCCGCAACGAGCGCAACCCUCGUCCUUAGUUGCCAUCCUUAAGUGGGGCACUCUAGGGAGACUGCCGGUGAUAAACCGGAGGAAGGUGGGGAUGACGUCAAGUCAUCAUGCCCCAUAUGUCCUGGGCGACACACGUACUACAAUGGUCGGGACAGCGAGCAGCCAACUUGCGAAAGUGAGCUAAUCUCUCAAACCCGGCCUCAGUUCAGAUUGCAGGCUGCAACUCGCCUGCAUGAAGGAGGAAUCGCUAGUAAUCGCAGGUCAGCAUACUGCGGUGAAUCCGUUCCCGGGCCUUGUACACACCGCCCGUCACACCAUGGAAGUCGGCCAUGCCCGAAGUCAUUACUCUAACCGUUCGCGGAGGAGGGUGCCGAAGGCAGGGCUGAUGACUGGGGUGAAGUCGUAACAAGGUAGCCGUACCGGAAGGUGUGGCUGGAUCACCUCCUUUUAGGGAGACCGUUCCCCAAUUGAGUGAAGGAUAUAAAUAAGCCCACUCAAUUGAGGUCAACCAUAGGUCGUGCGAAGAGUAUUCGGUCGUGUCUCUCAAACGAACGAGGACUCCGCAUCUCGGUCUUCAGUCUU